RNAcentral lists this ribosomal RNA (376 nucleotides) under uncultured bacterium. RNAcentral's name for it is "bacterial SSU rRNA". It matches the Rfam family "Bacterial small subunit ribosomal RNA", at positions 524 to 898 of the family's 1533-position model. The record is from RNAcentral.
UACGUAGGGAGCAAGCGUUGUCCGGAAUCAUUGGGCGUAAAGCGCGUGUAGGCGGUUACAUAAGUCUGUUGUGAAAGUCGGAGGCUCAACCUUCGAAAGCCGAUGGAUACUGUGUGACUUGAGUACGGAAGAGGAGAGUGGAAUUCCUGGUGUAGCGGUGAAAUGCGCAGAUAUCAGGAGGAACACCAACGGCGAAGGCAGCUCUCUGGGACGUUACUGACGCUGAGACGCGAAAGCGUGGGGAGCAAACAGGAUUAGAUACCCUGGUAGUCCACGCCGUAAACGAUGGUCACUAGAUGUGGGGGGUGUCGACUCCCUCCGUGUCGUAGCUAACGCGUUAAGUGACCCGCCUGGGGAGUACGGCCGCAAGGCUAAA